UACGUAGGGGCAAGCGUUGUCCGGAAUCAUUUGCGUAAAGAGCGUGUAGGCGGCCAGAAAAGUCCGCUGUGAAAACUCGAGGCUCAACUUCGAGCUGUCGGUGGAAACUUUCUGGCUAGAGUCCGGAAGAGGAGAAUGGAAUUCCUGGUGUAGCGGUGAAAUGCGUAGAUAUCAGGAGGAAUACCGAUGGCGAAGGCAGGUCUCUGGGCUAUAACUGACGCUCAUGCACGAAAGCGUGGGGAGCAAACAGG
Molecule: ribosomal RNA, 251 nt
Filed under: uncultured bacterium
Lineage: Bacteria
Description: partial 16S ribosomal RNA
Rfam family: Bacterial small subunit ribosomal RNA
Source: RNAcentral